CGUAGGGGCGAAGCGUUAUCCGGAUUUACUGGGUGUAAAGGGAGCGUAGACGGUUUGCAAGUCUGAAGUGAAAGCCCGGGGCUUAACCCCGGGACUGCUUUGGAAACUGUAGAACUAGAGUGCAGGAGAGGUAAGUGGAAUUCCUAGUGUAGCGGUGAAAUGCGUAGAUAUUAGGAGGAACACCAGUGGCGAAGGCGGCUUACUGGACUGUAACUGACGUUGAGGCUCGAAAAGCGUGGGGGAGCAAACAGGAUU
This 255-nucleotide ribosomal RNA is filed under the name uncultured bacterium. RNAcentral describes it as "partial 16S ribosomal RNA". It matches the Rfam family "Bacterial small subunit ribosomal RNA", at positions 526 to 779 of the family's 1533-position model. The record is from RNAcentral.